Molecule: ribosomal RNA, 253 nt
Filed under: uncultured bacterium
Lineage: Bacteria
Description: partial 16S ribosomal RNA
Rfam family: Bacterial small subunit ribosomal RNA
Source: RNAcentral
UACAGAGGAUGCAAGCGUUAUCCGGAAUGAUUGGGCGUAAAGCGUCUGUAGGUGGCUUUUUAAGUCCGCCGUCAAAUCCCAGGGCUCAACCCUGGACAGGCGGUGGAAACUACCAAGCUGGAGUACGGUAGGGGCAGAGGGAAUUUCCGGUGGAGCGGUGAAAUGCGUAGAGAUCGGAAAGAACACCAACGGCGAAAGCACGCUGCUGGGCCGACACUGUACGUGAGAGGCGUGAGCGCGGGGGGCGAAUGGG